RNAcentral lists this ribosomal RNA (468 nucleotides) under uncultured bacterium. RNAcentral's name for it is "partial 16S ribosomal RNA". It matches the Rfam family "Bacterial small subunit ribosomal RNA", at positions 28 to 507 of the family's 1533-position model. The record is from RNAcentral.
GACGAACGCUGGCGGCGUGCUUAACACAUGCAAGUCGAACGGCAAGGCCCUGCUAUUGUGCGGUGCCCGAGUGCCGAACGGGGGAGUAACAGGUGUGCAACCUACCCUUGACUUUGGGAUAACUUCAGGAAACUGGGGCUAAUACCGGAUAGCAGCUCCUGUUCCAUGGUGAGGGUUGGAAAGUUUCGGCUGGCGGGGAUGGACGCGCGGCUUAUCAGCUUGUUGGUUGGGUAGUGGCUUACCAAGGCUGUGACGGGUAGCCGGCAUGAGAGGGUGACCGGGCACAUUGGGACUGAGAUACGGACCAGAGUCGUACGGGAGGCAGCAGGGGGGAGUAUUGCACAAUGGGAGGAAGCCUGAGGCAGCAACGCCGCGUUCGGGAAGACGGCCUGCGGGUUGAGAACAGCUUUAGCCUGAGACGAAGCGUUAGUGACGGUAAUGGGUAAAGAAGCACCGGCUAACUACGUG